GGCUGUGUAGCUCAGUGAUAAAGUACUUGCCUAACAGGCAUGAGGCUCUGAGUUAGAUCCUCAAACGUAUCCA
This 73-nucleotide transfer RNA is filed under the name Cricetulus griseus (Chinese hamster). It matches the Rfam family "tRNA". From Rfam's summary of the family: Transfer RNA (tRNA) molecules are approximately 80 nucleotides in length. Their secondary structure includes four short double-helical elements and three loops (D, anti-codon, and T loops). Lineage: Eukaryota; Metazoa; Chordata; Mammalia; Rodentia; Cricetidae. The record is from Rfam by way of RNAcentral.